Daphnia pulex (common water flea) is the source of this 2902-nucleotide long non-coding RNA. RefSeq lists it as uncharacterized. The transcript has 10 exons. NCBI's taxonomy places the organism in Eukaryota, Metazoa, Arthropoda, Branchiopoda, Diplostraca, Daphniidae. The record is from RefSeq and is a predicted model, not a curated record.
UAUGCAGAAGUUCAUGACCAGUUUGAUGUUUGAGCUGUUUUUGGUUUUGCUGUUUGGUGUACAGUGGUUUUGCAGUCCCUUUCCGGUUGAGAGAUGCUCUUAAAUGGAGCUUGUGCAGACUUGCAGUUCAACAUCACACUUAAAUGUGUCAUUUGCCUAUGCUUGUGUCCGUGCAGUAUAUGCCGCGUUGAACAGUUGGGUUAAAUAGUCAAUGUUGCCUGAUUGCAUACUGUCAGUCAUUCCAACAAGCUGACUAGUAGCGCUCAGUCAAUUUCCAUCCAUUAGAUCCUCAUGCUGUCAAAAGCCUAAAACUCAUGCUUGAAGCCCACACAUAGAGGAAUACAAAUGUAUCGAGAUAAUAAGAUAUUCUUUCUCAUGAACCAUAGAAUCUUUUCUGAAUUCUUCGCAAUUUUGGUGGCGUCACGCUUGAAGGUCACGAGAAACAUUACGUAAAACUGGCAUGUGGUGCGGUGGUUUAGAGGCUGGGUGAGAACGACACGUGUUUCAACAUUAUCAAGCAGACCCAUCCCCAGCAACGUCACCUGCAGAAGAAAAGGCCAGUUUGCAUUUCAAUCGAAGGUCAUGGAGAUCAUUACGUUAAACUUGUCAUGCAGUGGUGUAGAGGUUGGGUGAGAACGGAAAGUUUUGUAUCAUUAUCAUCAAGAAGGUAAAAUAACCGCAAGGCUUAAGAGGAGGAGUGAGAAAAAGUUGUAUAAAAGCCGAGAGAAAAGUCGACAGGGAUCAGUCGAGUGAGCAUCUCCGGACACGGCAACAACUGCAGUGCACUUGUUGCCAUCCGCUCUCAGCUGCUAUCAACAGUUCGCAAUCAUGGUUGUAUAUAAGGACAAAGAAAAGGCGAAAGAAAUCAGUCGAGUGAGCAUCUCAUACAAGAGCUGCAGUGCGCCAUUCGUCACCAACUGCAUUCUUCCUCGAAUUGCUAGUUUUAAAUCAUGGUAAACUACGUAUGGCGUCAUGCUGCCUUAGGGUGUUGUAUAGCUGACGGCUGGUUCAGCAAUGGUGUACGAAUGUCUCCUGGGUAUGCCUGAUAACAAUCGCAACGCCGCUACUUUACUACACAACAUACGACACGAUCAGUAACUACACCAAGGCCCCCAAGUACUACGCCACCAAGGCUCUAGAUUAUUAUACCACAACUUAUGCUGCCCUGAGCUACUACACCGAAGCCCCGAAGUAUUAAUCUUCCUCGAGCUACACUACUGGAUGUUCGAGUACUACACCGAUGCUCCGAAGUACUACACCACCAAGGCACCGGAGUACCGCGCAACUACAUAUCAUGGUUGUUAAAGAAAGAAAAGGUGAAAGAAAUCAGCCGAGGUUAUCUCCGACACGAUAACAGCACUGCAGUGCCAAGUCUCAGUAUUACACCACAACUUAUGUUGCCCCGAGAUACUACACCAAAGCGCCUGAAUGCUAUAUUGAGGCCACUAAUUACUACACCACAAGGCACCGUAUUACUACACUGCAACAUACGCUGCUCCAGCUUAAUACACCGAGGCUCCCCAACACGACACCACCAAGGCAACGGAGUACUACACCACUAUAGGUCGUAUGAAAGGAGAUAAAAGGUGAAGUAAUUCAGCAGCCGAGUGAGCAUCUCCGUUACAGCAAUAGGAACUGCCGUGCACUAGUUGUCAUCAACUUCAUUCUUCGUCGCGUUACAAGUGUUAAAUAAAGUUAACUAAUAACUAUGGCGUUGUACUAAUCUUGGGUGUCGUAUCGUUGAUGGCUGGGUCGACCACUGGUGUACCGAUGUCUCCCGGGCAUGGCGGGUAUCAAAGCACAACACUGCCGUGCCGUCUUACUAUUUAGCAUCAACUUCCGCUGCUCCAGCUUACUACAUUGAGGCUCUAGAGUGCUACACCACCGAGGCUCCAAAGCAUUACACCACAACUCAUGUUGCCCCGAGCUACUACACUGAAUGCCCGAAGUAUUAUUCUUCACCGAGCUACACUACCAAAGGAUCGAGUACUACGUCGAGGCUCCCGAGUACUACAUCACCAAGGCACCGGAGUACAAAAACGAUCGAAUACUACACAGAAGAAAUCAUGGAAAAUAUGGCGUCGUGCUGCUGCGAGUGUUGUAACGUUGAUGGCUGGAUCGACCACUGGUGUGCCGAUGUCUCCUGUGUAUGGCGAGCAUCAAUAGCAACAUACGCAACAACCGGAUACUACACUAAGACCCCAAGUGCUACACCACCAAGGCUUCAGAGUAUUACACCACAGUUUAUGUUGGUGCGAGCCACUACGCAGAAGCUCCGAAGUAUUUUUCUUCCCCGAGUUUCACCACGCCGCUUCAUCUCUAAACGACAACGUCAACACCUUCUUAUUAUACGAAGGCCUCCAAGUACUACGCCACGAAGACUCCUGACCUCUAUACCGAGAAUCUAACUUGUUACACCACCGAAGUUCCCAAGUACUGCACUACAACCUACGUUGCCCCAGCGACUGGAGUGCUACACCACGCAGGCACUGGAAUGCUACACCACGCAGGCACUGGAGUGCUACACCACGCAGGCACUGGAGUGCUUCACCACGCAGGCACUGAAGUGCUACACCACGCAGGCACUGGAGUGCUACACCACGCAGGCACUGGAGUGCUACACCACGCAGGCACUGGAGUGCUACACCACGCAGGCACUGGCAUGGUAAACCGAAGCUCCAGUUUACUACACUACAACCUACGCUGAUCUAAAGUACUCUAAUGCUCCAAAGUACUACACCACCAAGGCAUCAUAGCAUACACCACCUGCUACAUCGAAGCUCCGAAAUCAGUACUCUGCCUCGAGUUACCAAACCACUAAGGCAGCCGAUAAUAUUACACUACGAUCCUGCAAUUUUCUACAAGGAAUUACCCAAAUACUAAAGCCGAAAUUUCUACUUGA